Neofelis nebulosa (Clouded leopard) is the source of this 434-nucleotide long non-coding RNA. RefSeq lists it as uncharacterized. NCBI's taxonomy places the organism in Eukaryota, Metazoa, Chordata, Mammalia, Carnivora, Felidae. The transcript is spliced from 3 exons. The record is from RefSeq and is a predicted model, not a curated record.
GGUUCUAAAUCUUUACUGCUCCUAGAAUCACCUGGGAAGAUUUUAAUAAAGCUGAAGCCGAAGGUGCCACCAGACCAGUCCCAUCAGAACUUGUGGAGGUGGGACUCAAGCAUCUGCAUCUGAAAGGUCUCAGGUGCCCUCCUCAAUACCCAUCACCCACCCCCCAAGGGCUGGAGUGACUUCUUAUUCCAUGUGUGCCGUUUGGAAGAGUGAUGACAACAGGUGCCUGGAAGGGCAUGGAAACGUUGCUAGGAAGAGCUCAGGUGGAAGAAGGAGCCACGAGAGACCCACAGCUAAGAGGAGUGUGAUUUCUGAUUUCAUGGGCCUUCAUACAUCCUCACACAGAUGCAGGAAGAAACACUGCCCCCCCCCCCAACUGAAAAAGCUCAAAGAAAUGUGGGACAAAAAUAAAAUUGAGUUUUGAUCAUGUUGUA